CGCCGUGCACGUCCGGUUAGCACUGCGCCGAGGGGAGCAGCUCGUGGAUUCGGGAACGCAUUUCCCUCACGAGGAAUGCUCGUGCCAUAACUUUCACCACCCGCGGGCCAGACGGUAAACACGCCGCCGAGCCCUGGCAUGGCCGCCCGAAGUGACCCCGCUGCUUACGGGCGGACACGAGCAAGAUACACAAGCUGGAGGGGGGGGGGGGCUCUCCCGAAGCGAGGUGAAGUCACUCUUCCACCUACCAUAUUUGAUGUCAAAAUCAGGCGAACGUUCAAAUUCAGCAGAUUUCCCCACCGAUCCCCUUUGCGAGACAAUGAAAUCAGCUCGUCCGAUCAUCAAUUCUAAUCAUGAUUGUGACGUGUUGGCAGACAGGAGCCAAUGGGAGCCCAAGAUCAUCUCCGUGACAUUCGGAAACGGCUGAAAGCGGAGCGCCGUGGUCCCGCCCACCAUUGACUUUGUUCCGCGGGCUGCUGGAGGAGGAGGUCACAGGCAUGGGAGCCGCCGAAACUUUGGAUGGGGAAUGGUUUGUGUCCUCAUCAGCACGAAAAAGUGCCUUUCGAAAUGUUUUUUGUUAAUGUAGUCUGUUACUGAAACUGUGCUUGAUUCAGAUACAGCGGGUUUCCGUAAAUGUUGCCAACAGAGAAUUGAUAAAUAGACUGCUUCCCCAACGGGACACAUUAACGUGACACUUUGUGAUGAAUUCUAGCAAAUGUUGUGUUUCCACCACAGGAAAUGUUUGUGCUUGAUUCUUUUUUUUGUACAUUAUUAAAUGAUUGGUUCAUCAUUUACAUAGAGUUGUCAUCCUUGAACCGGCUUUGGCAUACUGCACUGAACUAUGCAAUGAAUUGUAUCCUUUUUUUAUACCAGUGAUCAACAUACUGAAAAACAAAGGGAACUGUUUUAUUUAGCAACAGAAUCACUGUAGUCCUGCAGUUCUCCUUUCAUCAUAGGUAAUGCACUCAUCAAAACAUGAUUUAUUACAGUUGUAUUAGCAUUUCUGUUGCAGUAUGACUAACAAUAUGUUUCAGGGAGGGAGACCAGGCGGUAUGAAAGUAAGUAACAGAGCAUGUAGGAAGAAUUUGGCCACAUCAAUCCAAACCACGAGGCAAAGGAGGAGGACGAGGCAGUACAUCUUCUGUCUAUGAACAUAGGUCAGCACAAAUAGUGUCACUUUGUCAGUAACAUAAACACAAGAGCAGAGUGCACAUACGUUUUAAUUUGAAGGACCAUCAGAUAUUAUUGUUGCAUUGUAGAGCAUCCCUUAAUUGUUUGAGGGUUGACAUAUCUGCACUUUGAAUAUAUAUUUUUGUUGGUUCCAUGAAACAAAUAAAGCAAGUUACCCCGUAA
Molecule: non-coding RNA, 1353 nt
Organism: Gasterosteus aculeatus aculeatus (three-spined stickleback)
Lineage: Eukaryota; Metazoa; Chordata; Actinopteri; Perciformes; Gasterosteidae
Source: RefSeq, a predicted model, not a curated record